This 350-nucleotide transfer-messenger RNA is filed under the name Pseudooceanicola sp. It matches the Rfam family "Alphaproteobacteria transfer-messenger RNA". Rfam says of the family: Bacterial tmRNA, also known as 10Sa RNA or SsrA, is named for its dual tRNA and mRNA-like properties. Its role is to liberate the mRNA from a stalled ribosome. The record is from RNAcentral. RNAcentral also lists the same sequence under 1 other name. Lineage: Bacteria; Pseudomonadati; Pseudomonadota; Alphaproteobacteria; Rhodobacterales; Paracoccaceae.
GGGCUUUAAAUCCGGCAGCGCCCGCUCUAUAUUGCAUCCUGUCCUUCGGGACUAUGGACAUAAACGCGCUCGUAAUAAGCGGAUCGGACCCGGGGGCGGUACCCGGCGGCUCCACCAAACAUCCUUCAUUUGGGGAUCAUGGGGCCGAAACAGGAUCGACGAACGUCUAAAGGGGUUUUGCCUUGUCCCGGCUGUCUGCCACCGUUACCGGCGAAAAAAGUACAAUUGCAAAUGACAAUCGUGCUCCGGUUGCCGUUGCUGCGUAAGCAGUAACAAGACCGAAACUUAAGCCCUUGCGCCUAGCAGCGUAAGGCGGGGUUCGCAGGCACCUGGCAACAGAAGCCUGCACU